CAAUGUUAAAAAGUCACCUAAAAAAUGUGCACUAAGAAUAAGAGCAACGGCCGAACUAUACACACAUUUCUGCUCCACUGUUCUUGGUGGGAGAAACGUGCGUAUAUACGACAGGAGGCGCGGUGUAGAAACUAGUGAUGGAUACAGCGUCGUAGAGCAGGAGACGUUGCGAUGCCAGAUAUUAUUGAGGUUAUGACUGUUUAGUAAAUUAAUGAUUGAGGAAUGACCGAGUCCUUGUUAUGUUCCAAAAUGAUGAAGAAUAUCGAUAAGACUU
This is a long non-coding RNA of Bombus terrestris (buff-tailed bumblebee), 274 nucleotides long. RefSeq lists it as uncharacterized. Lineage: Eukaryota; Metazoa; Arthropoda; Insecta; Hymenoptera; Apidae. The transcript has 2 exons. The record is from RefSeq and is a predicted model, not a curated record.